This 1559-nucleotide ribosomal RNA is filed under the name Alaria alata. Its description in RNAcentral is "SSU rRNA". It matches the Rfam family "Eukaryotic small subunit ribosomal RNA", at positions 282 to 1715 of the family's 1831-position model. Lineage: Eukaryota; Metazoa; Platyhelminthes; Trematoda; Diplostomida; Diplostomidae. The record is from RNAcentral.
UGUCGGCGACGGAUCUUUCAAAUGUCUGCCCUAUCAACUUUCGAUGGUAGGUGAUCUGCCUACCAUGGUGAUAACGGGUAACGGGGAAUCAGGGUUCGAUUCCGGAGAGGGAGCCUGAGAAACGGCUACCACAUCCAAGGAAGGCAGCAGGCGCGAAAAUUACCCACUCCCGGCACGGGGAGGUAGUGACGAAAAAUACGAAUACGGGACUCACUCGAGGCUCCGUAAUUCGAAUGAGUACAAUCUAAAUCCUUUAACGAGGACCAAUUGGAGGGCAAGUCUGGUGCCAGCAGCCGCGGUAACUCCAGCUCCAAAAGCGUAUAUUAAAGUUGCUGCAGUUAAAAAGCUCGUAGUUGGAUCUGGGUCGUGCGUUCACAUGUUGUUGCUUGGUUCUGAUUUCGGUCAGUUUCAGGUGAUGAUAAAGUGGGCGUGCAGCCUUUCAGCCGUGUCUGCGUAAGCAGGUGUUGGCUGGCUGGUGAGCUUGCUCGCUGGCUAGUUGACAUGUUUCCUGAUGCCUUUAAACGGGUGUCGGGGGCGUACGGCACUUUUACUUUGAACAAAUUUGAGUGCUCAAAGCAGGCCCAUGUGCCUGAAAAGUCUUGCAUGGAAUAAUGGAAUAGGACUUCGGUUCUAUUUUGUUGGUUUCCGGAUCCGAAGUAAUGGUUAAGAGGAACAGACGGGGGCAUUUGUAUGGCGGCGUGAGAGGUGAAAUUCUAUGAUCGUCGCCAGACAAACUACAGCGAAAGCAUUUGCCAAGAAUGUUUUCAUUGAUCAGGAGCGAAAGUCAGAGGUUCGAAGACGAUCAGAUACCGUCCUAGUUCUGACCAUAAACGAUGCCAACUGACGAUCCGCGGCGGUUCUUUAACCGGCCCCGCGGGCAGUCCCCGGGAAACCCUUAAGUCUUUGGGCUCCGGGGGAAGUAUGGUUGCAAAGCUGAAACUUAAAGGAAUUGACGGAAGGGCACCACCAGGAGUGGAGCCUGCGGCUUAAUUCGACUCAACACGGGAAAACUCACCCGGCCCGGACACUGUGAGGAUUGACAGAUUGAUAGCUCUUUCUUGAUUCGGUGGUUGGUGGUGCAUGGCCGUUCUUAGUUGGUGGAGCGAUUUGUCUGGUUAAUUCCGAUAACGAACGAGACUUUGACCUACUAAUUAGUUUGCCUAUCCUCUGUGCUCGUGCAGAUCUCGGCUUCAGCUGCCUCCUUGUGGGGUGAUGGGGUCGUGGAUCGGCGGGUACGGCGUGGUGCUUACUUCUUAGAGGGACAAGCGGCGCUGCAAGUCGCACGAAAUUGAGCAAUAACAGGUCUGUGAUGCCCUUAGAUGUCCGGGGCCGCACGUGCGCUACAAUGACGGUGCCAGCGAGCAUGGAAACCUGGCCCGAAAGGGUUGGGCAAACUUUUCAUCACCGUCGUGACUGGGAUCGGGGCUUGCAAUUAUUCCCCGUGAACGAGGAAUUCCUAGUAAGUGCAAGUCAUAAGCUUGCGCUGAUUACGUCCCUGCCCUUUGUACACACCGCCCGUCGCUACUACCGAUUGAAUGGUUAAGCUGAGGUAAUCGGAU